This 497-nucleotide ribosomal RNA is filed under the name uncultured bacterium. RNAcentral describes it as "partial 16S ribosomal RNA". It matches the Rfam family "Bacterial small subunit ribosomal RNA", at positions 28 to 507 of the family's 1533-position model. The record is from RNAcentral.
GAUGAACGCUGGCGGCGUGCCUAAUACAUGCAAGUCGAGCGAACAGACGAGGAGCUUGCUCCUUUGACGUUAGCGGCGGACGGGUGAGUAACACGUAGGUAACCUACCUAUAAGACUGGGAUAACUUCGGGAAACCGGAGCUAAUACCGGAUAAGAUUUCGAACCGCAUGGUUCGAUAGUGAAAGAUGGCUUUGCUAUCACUUAUAGAUGGACCUGCGCCGUAUUAGCUAGUUGGUAAGGUAACGGCUUACCAAGGCAACGAUACGUAGCCGACCUGAGAGGGUGAUCGGCCACACUGGAACUGAGACACGGUCCAGACUCCUACGGGAGGCAGCAGUAGGGAAUCUUCCGCAAUGGGCGAAAGCCUGACGGAGCAACGCCGCGUGAGUGAUGAAGGUCUUCGGAUCGUAAAACUCUGUUAUUAGGGAAGAACAAACGUGUAAGUAACUGUGCACGUCUUGACGGUACCUAAUCAGAAAGCCACGGCUAACUACGUG